Erigeron canadensis is the source of this 101-nucleotide long non-coding RNA. RefSeq lists it as uncharacterized. Lineage: Eukaryota; Viridiplantae; Streptophyta; Magnoliopsida; Asterales; Asteraceae. The transcript is spliced from 3 exons. The record is from RefSeq and is a predicted model, not a curated record.
UGAGAACCUAAAGUGCUUUGUCAUUUAUGUUGGAAGCCAACUUGAAGAAGAAAUGAAGCAGAUUAUCAACAUCUUACCAAAGGAGUUGGUAGUAGCAACGG